Molecule: ribosomal RNA, 301 nt
Filed under: uncultured bacterium
Lineage: Bacteria
Description: partial 16S ribosomal RNA
Rfam family: Bacterial small subunit ribosomal RNA
Source: RNAcentral
CAGCAGCCGCGGUAAUACAGAGGGUGCGAGCGUUAAUCGGAUUUACUGGGCGUAAAGCGUGCGUAGGCGGCUAAUUGAGUCGGAUGUGAAAUCCCCGAGCUUAACUUGGGAAUUGCAUUCGAUACUGGUUAGCUAGAGUGUGGGAGAGGAUGGUAGAAUUCCAGGUGUAGCGGUGAAAUGCGUAGAGAUCUGGAGGAAUACCGAUGGCGAAGGCAGCCAUCUGGCCUAAUACUGACGCUGAGGUACGAAAGCAUGGGGAGCAAACAGGAUUAGAUACCCGUGUAGUCCCUGUCUCUUAUAC